AUGUUGCAGGACUGAAUUCCCUAUGUACUGGCAAAGUGGAACAGCAUGGUCUGCAACAGUGCAAGCUUCAACACAAUACCCAGCCAGUGUGCCUCAGUGCCUACUUAGAAUGACGAUAUCUACAGAUGAGAGAAAUUCAGGUUUCUUGCCUGCUGCAGUCCUUGGCUACC
Molecule: small RNA, 170 nt
Filed under: Chrysemys picta bellii (western painted turtle)
Lineage: Eukaryota; Metazoa; Chordata; Testudines; Emydidae
Description: TUC338 (ENSCPBG00000007300.1)
Source: RNAcentral